UUCGGCUACCACUUACAGAUGGACCCGCGGCGCAUUAGCUAGUUGGUGAGGUAACGGCUCACCAAGGCGACGAUGCGUAGCCGACCUGAGAGGGUGAUCGGCCACACUGGGACUGAGACACGGCCCAGACUCCUACGGGAGGCAGCAGUAGGGAAUCUUCCGCAAUGGACGAAAGUCUGACGGAGCAACGCCGCGUGAGUGAUGAAGGUUUUCGGAUCGUAAAGCUCUGUUGUUAGGGAAGAACAAGUGCCGUUCAAAUAGGGCGGCACCUUGACGGUACCUAACCAGAAAGCCACGGCUAACUACGUGCCAGCAGCCGCGGUAAUACGUAGGUGGCAAGCGUUGUCCGGAAUUAUUGGGCGUAAAGGGCUCGCAGGCGGUUUCUUAAGUCUGAUGUGAAAGCCCCCGGCUCAACCGGGGAGGGUCAUUGGAAACUGGGGAACUUGAGUGCAGAAGAGGAGAGUGGAAUUCCACGUGUAGCGGUGAAAUGCGUAGAGAUGUGGAGGAACACCAGUGGCGAAGGCGACUCUCUGGUCUGUAACUGACGCUGAGGAGCGAAAGCGUGGGGAGCGAACAGGAUUAGAUACCCUGGUAGUCCACGCCGUAAACGAUGAGUGCUAAGUGUUAGGGGGUUUCCGCCCCUUAGUGCUGCAGCUAACGCAUUAAGCACUCCGCCUGGGGAGUACGGUCGCAAGACUGAAACUCAAAGGAAUUGACGGGGGCCCGCACAAGCGGUGGAGCAUGUGGUUUAAUUCGAAGCAACGCGAAGAACCUUACCAGGUCUUGACAUCCUCUGACAAUCCUAGAGAUAGGACGUCCCCUUCGGGGGCAGAGUGACAGGUGGUGCAUGGUUGUCGUCAGCUCGUGUCGUGAGAUGUUGGGUUAAGUCCCGCAACGAGCGCAACCCUUGAUCUUAGUUGCCAGCAUUCAGUUGGGCACUCUAAGGUGACUGCCGGUGACAAACCGGAGGAAGGUGGGGAUG
Molecule: ribosomal RNA, 982 nt
Filed under: Bacillus amyloliquefaciens
Lineage: Bacteria; Bacillati; Bacillota; Bacilli; Caryophanales; Bacillaceae
Description: bacterial SSU rRNA
Rfam family: Bacterial small subunit ribosomal RNA
Source: RNAcentral